GUUCUGACCGUAAACUAUGCCAUCUAGCGAUCCGAUGGGGUAUUGUUGCCUUGUCGAGGAGCUUCCCGGAAACGAAAGUCUUUCGGUUCCUGGGGUAGUAUGGUUGCAAAGCUGAAACUUAAAGAAAUUGACGGAAUGGCACCACCAGGAGUGGAGCCUGCGGCUUAAUUUGACUCAACACGGGAAAACUCACCCGGCCCGGACACCGUAAGGAUUGACAGAUUGAAAGCUCUUUCUCGAUUUGGUGGUUGGUGGUGCAUGGCCGUUCUUAGUUGGUGGAGCGAUUUGUCUGGUUUAUUCCGAUAACGAGCGAGACUCUAGCCUGCUAAAUAGUGACUAGAUUUUUAUGUCUAGUCUACUUCUUAGAGGGAUAAGCGGUGUUUAGCCGCACGAGAUUGAGCGAUAACAGGUCUGUGAUGCCCUUAGAUGUCCGGGGCUGCACGCGCGCUACAAUGGAAGAAUCAGCUGGCCUAUCCAUUGCCGAAAGGUAUUGGUAAACCGUUGAAACUCUUCCGUGACCGGGAUAGGGAAUUGUAACUAUUUCCCUUGAACGAGGAAUUCCUAGUAAGUGUGAGUCAUCAGCUCACGCUGAU
RNAcentral lists this ribosomal RNA (593 nucleotides) under Crenosoma vulpis. Its description in RNAcentral is "SSU rRNA". It matches the Rfam family "Eukaryotic small subunit ribosomal RNA", at positions 1023 to 1645 of the family's 1831-position model. The record is from RNAcentral. Lineage: Eukaryota; Metazoa; Nematoda; Chromadorea; Rhabditida; Crenosomatidae.